This 74-nucleotide transfer RNA is filed under the name Ictidomys tridecemlineatus (thirteen-lined ground squirrel). RNAcentral's name for it is "Spermophilus tridecemlineatus (thirteen-lined ground squirrel) tRNA". It matches the Rfam family "tRNA". Rfam says of the family: Transfer RNA (tRNA) molecules are approximately 80 nucleotides in length. Lineage: Eukaryota; Metazoa; Chordata; Mammalia; Rodentia; Sciuridae. The record is from Rfam by way of RNAcentral.
AGGGCUGGGGCUCAGUGGUAGAGCACUCGCCUAGCACGCGUGUGAAGCUCUGGGUUAGAUUCUCAGCACCACAU